UGGGGAAUAUUGCACAAUGGGCGCAAGCCUGAUGCAGCCAUGCCGCGUGUGUGAAGAAGGCCUUCGGGUUGUAAAGCACUUUCAGCGAGGAGGAAGGUGGUGGACUUAAUACGUUCAUCAAUUGACGUUACUCGCAGAAGAAGCACCGGCUAACUCCGUGCCAGCAGCCGCGGUAAUACGGAGGGUGCAAGCGUUAAUCGGAAUUACUGGGCGUAAAGCGCACGCAGGCGGUUUGUUAAGUCAGAUGUGAAAUCCCCGGGCUCAACCUGGGAACUGCAUUUGAAACUGGCAAGCUAGAGUCUCGUAGAGGGGGGUAGAAUUCCAGGUGUAGCGGUGAAAUGCGUAGAGAUCUGGAGGAAUACCGGUGGCGAAGGCGGCCCCCUGGACGAAGACUGACGCUCAGGUGCGAAAGCGUGGGGAGCAAAACAGGAUUAGAUACCCUGGUAGUCCACGCUGUAAACGAUGUCGAUUUGGAGGUUGUGCCCUUGAGGCGUGGCUUCCGGAGCUAACGCGUUAAAUCGACCGCCUGGGGAGUACGGCCGCAAGGUUAAAACUCAAAGGAAUUGAC
Molecule: ribosomal RNA, 568 nt
Filed under: uncultured bacterium
Lineage: Bacteria
Description: partial 16S ribosomal RNA
Rfam family: Bacterial small subunit ribosomal RNA
Source: RNAcentral